Molecule: ribosomal RNA, 468 nt
Filed under: uncultured bacterium
Lineage: Bacteria
Description: partial 16S ribosomal RNA
Rfam family: Bacterial small subunit ribosomal RNA
Source: RNAcentral
GGCGAACGCUGGCGGCGUGCUUAACACAUGCAAGUCGAACGGAAAGGCCCUGCUUUUGUGGGGUGCUCGAGUGGCGAACGGGUGAGUAACACGUGAGUAACCUGCCCUUGACUUUGGGAUAACUUCAGGAAACUGGGGCUAAUACCGGAUAGGAGCUCCUGCUGCAUGGUGGGGGUUGGAAAGUUUCGGCGGUUGGGGAUGGACUCGCGGCUUAUCAGCUUGUUGGUGGGGUAGUGGCUUACCAAGGCUUUGACGGGUAGCCGGCCUGAGAGGGUGACCGGCCACAUUGGGACUGAGAUACGGCCCAGACUGCUACGGGAGGCAGCAGUGGGGAAUAUUGCACAAUGGGCGGAAGCCUGAUGCAGCAACGCCGCGUGCGGGAUGACGGCCUUCGGGUUGUAAACCGCUUUCGCCUGUGACGAAGCGUGAGUGACGGUAAUGGGUAAAGAAGCACCGGCUAACUACGUG